GUUAAAAACGGUCCCAAGGGAUCUUUUU
Molecule: small nuclear RNA, 28 nt
Filed under: Arabidopsis thaliana (thale cress)
Lineage: Eukaryota; Viridiplantae; Streptophyta; Magnoliopsida; Brassicales; Brassicaceae
Description: snRNA_14996
Source: RNAcentral